Non-coding RNA from Symphalangus syndactylus (siamang), 646 nucleotides. The record is from the annotation of a RefSeq genome assembly. Lineage: Eukaryota; Metazoa; Chordata; Mammalia; Primates; Hylobatidae.
AUGCUGUUGGCUCUAGCUCUGCUUCUAGCUUUCCUGCCUCCUGCCAGUCAGAAAUCUUUCAACUUGGAAGGGAGAAUGAAGUUAGUCACCGGGCUGACUGGGUCAUCGGCUGUAAUCACUUGUGAUCUUCCUGUAGAAAAUGCCGUCUACAUCCACUGGUACCUACACCAGGAGGGGAAGGCCCCACAGCGUCUUCUGUACUAUGUCUUCUCCACCUCCAAGAUUGUGUUGGAAUCAGGAAUUAGUCUAGGAAAGUAUCAUACUUAUGCAAGCACAAGGAGGAGCUUUAAAUUUAUACUGGAAAAUCUAAUUGAACAUGACUCUGGGGUCUAUUACUGUGCCACCUGGGUUAGGCACAGUGAUUCAGACCUGCCCUACCCCACGCUGAAAAUCUGCCUUGAGACUACUCCUAGUACACAAGAUAGACCAGCCUCAUCUCAUUUCCUGCCCAUGAAUUCACUGUAUUCUGUACAAACAGAAACACAGCUUAACUCCUGAUCUCCCCACUAAUAUCACACUCCCCUGGCAGCAGCUGCACCCUGUUCUCCACCCCACCCUCAUGAGUUACCUAAACACCAAACUACAAUCUCCCAGCUGUGUCAGCCAAGCAGCCUGGCUGACAGCGAAGUUCUUUCAGCUCUUCUAG